This 216-nucleotide long non-coding RNA is filed under the name Elaeis guineensis (African oil palm). Its description in RNAcentral is "long non-coding RNA (EGUI_LNC080750)". Lineage: Eukaryota; Viridiplantae; Streptophyta; Magnoliopsida; Arecales; Arecaceae. The record is from RNAcentral.
UGGAUCCUUAUCGAACUUAAAUUAGUUUUAAGUAGAGAAAGAAUCCUACACAAUCACCAAAAGGCACAUAAAAAUAUAAUUGCCAUCACCUCAAAUCAGCAUGAGAAAUAAAGAGUCCUUCUUAAAGAAGGCUCUUUAUUAAACAUGUUGUCUUAGAAGAUAAAUUAGAAAUCCUAUGUUUUGAUGCCAAAAAUUAAUAAAAUUUUUAUGGCACAU